UAGGGAAUCUUCGGCAAUGGACGAAAGUCUGACCGAGCAACGCCGCGUGAGUGAAGAAGGUUUUCGGAUCGUAAAACUCUGUUGUUAGAGAAGAACAAGGACGUUAGUAACUGAACGUCCCCUGACGGUAUCUAACCAGAAAGCCACGGCUAACUACGUGCCAGCAGCCGCGGUAAUACGUAGGUGGCAAGCGUUGUCCGGAUUUAUUGGGCGUAAAGCGAGCGCAGGCGGUUUCUUAAGUCUGAUGUGAAAGCCCCCGGCUGAACCGGGGAGGGUCAUUGGAAACUGGGAGACUUGAGUGCAGAAGAGGAGAGUGGAAUUCCAUGUGUAGCGGUGAAAUGCGUAGAUAUAUGGAGGAACACCAGUGGCGAAGGCGGCUCUCUGGUCUGUAACUGACGCUGAGGCUCGAAAGCGUGGGGAGCAAACAGG
Molecule: ribosomal RNA, 429 nt
Filed under: Chloroflexota bacterium
Lineage: Bacteria; Bacillati; Chloroflexota
Description: Chloroflexi bacterium partial 16S ribosomal RNA
Rfam family: Bacterial small subunit ribosomal RNA
Source: RNAcentral